AUUGAACGCUGGCGGCAGGCCUAACACAUGCAAGUCGAACGAGUGGCGGACGGGUGAGUAAUGUCUGGGAAACUGCCUGAUGGAGGGGGUUAACUACUGGAAACGGUAGCUAAUACCGCAUACCCUCAGAUGUGCCCAGAUGGGCUGAGCUAGUUGGUGGGGUAACGGCUCACCAAGGCGACGAUCCCUAGCUAGUCUGAGAGGAUGACCAGCAAAACUGGAACUGAGACACGGUACAGACUCCUACGGGAGGAAGAAGUGGGGAAUAUUGCACAAUGGGCGCAAGCCUGAUACAGCCAUGCCGCGUGUAUGAAGAAGGCCUUCGGGUUGUAAAGUACUUUAAGCGGGGAGGCAUUACCCGCAGAAGAAGCACCGGCUAACUCCGUGCAAGCAGCCGCGGUAAUUC
RNAcentral lists this ribosomal RNA (406 nucleotides) under uncultured bacterium. Its description in RNAcentral is "partial 16S ribosomal RNA". It matches the Rfam family "Bacterial small subunit ribosomal RNA", at positions 30 to 526 of the family's 1533-position model. The record is from RNAcentral.